Molecule: long non-coding RNA, 300 nt
Organism: Acipenser ruthenus (sterlet)
Lineage: Eukaryota; Metazoa; Chordata; Actinopteri; Acipenseriformes; Acipenseridae
Exons: 2
Source: RefSeq, a predicted model, not a curated record
GGCCCGGUUUUUAGGAUGGAACCGCGUAACAAUCUCGCGUUUUGAUUGGUCCUUGUCUGUCGGAGGAAUAUGACAUCAACACGAGCUUGGAGGGAGGAUCUUAAACUUUGAAACGAAGCAAAGAAGCAUUGUGCUCGGAGGAGAGGAGUUAUUGUUCUACUGCUCGCCAGGACUUUUCAAAUAUAGCAAACGAUGGGACCCAAAAUAAGACUGUCUGACAUAGAAUCGACAUCAACUUCAUCGUCCUCAUACCUAGAAGGAAUCGAUCUCUGUAAAAUUCCACCGCUUAGGAGAAGCUCG